UUUUUUUUUUUUUUUUUUUUUUUUCCCUAAUGUGCUGUGACAAAGUAUCAUGUCAUUGCUGUGAAGUGUUGCCAGAAGGUCAACAGAGAUUAUCCCUCCUGUCUACUCAGCCCCAGUGAGGGCACACCUGGAUCUUUGGGUUCAGUUUUGAGCUCUCCACUGCAAAAAAGAGAUGGAGCUACUGGAAAGUCCAGCAAAGGCUCAUGAAGAUGAUUAAGGGAUCAGAACAUCAAUUUGUGAGGAGAGGCUGAAAGAGCUGGGACUGUUCAUCUUGGAGAAGAGAAGGUUCAGGGGGAUCUUUUCAAUGUGUAGAAAUACCCGCAGUGAGGGUGCACAAAGGAUGGAGCCAGGUUCAUUCCAGUGGUGCCCAGUAACAGGACCAGAGGCAAAGGGCAUGUGCUGAAACAGGCAGUUUCCUUUGAACAUCCAGAAACACCUUUUCUUCAACUGUGAGGGUGACCAGGCACUGGCCUGUGUUGCCUGGGGAUGUGGCAGAUUCUCCAUCCUUGGAGAUACUCAUAUACUGUCCAGACAUAGACCUGGGCAAUCUGCUGGAGUGAUGAGGUUGGACCAGGUGAACUCCGGAGAUCCCUUUUAACCUCAACCAUGCUGUGGUUCCAUGUUUGUUUCUUUUUUAUGGGCAGAUUGGUUUCACUUUUCACGUCCAUUCCAGGUGACAAUUAUUAAUUAAAUUAAUCAGCUUAGCAGUAAAACUAGCCAAGUUUUAUGUAAAUGCCAUAAUCUUCCUAGUAGCUUAAAUUGCAUGGGGCUGUAGAUGCAUAAAUAUUUCACUGCAUGUAUGUGGCAAAGGCAUUUCUGCAGAGCAGCCAUGAGAUGACAGAGAUUCGAGGGGUUUUGUGUUGGAGGAAGAGCUACAGAAAUCCCAAAAUAAAUUGAAUAGCAGCCAUCACUUGUGUAGCGUGGAACACGCCAGCAAAAAGUGCAUUGAUACUUUACACCACGGCACCACAAGGAUGGAUUUUCUGGCCACAAGGAUGUGUUGUGGUGGCCCACCCUAAGAGCAGCCUGACCAGGAAGGGUCACUGCACUUGAACAAAAGCUUUUCUUUGCUUUCUCUGCUCCCCUGCCAAUCUUCAUCUAAAAUUACUUCUGCCACUUCAGGAGUGAUUCUGGAUUAUCUGAAGUGUACACUGAAAGUAAUCUUUGCUUAGAAAUGCAAUCAGAACAGUAAUCCUUGACUCAUUGGGGUGGCUCAGCUGAGCCCUUAGCAGGGGAGGAAUUUAUCUCCCUCCUUCCUUGUGGGGAACAUGUGGGGAUGUUCCUGUCUCUCUGUCUGUGGCCAUUGCAAUGACCACUCUGCUGCCCUGGGUACAGAGAAACUUGACCUUUCUCUGAUAAACCUUCCUUCUGGGCAUGUGCCACCUGCAGCUGAUUUCCCUGGCUCUGCAUUAGGAGAUCAGAAGAAGCCAUGGGUUCUGGUCACUUCUGAAGGUGGCAUAGUUGCUGUGAUAGUGGCAACCAGCUUUGCUUCACCACUGUUAGUCUCAGACUAGUUCAAGUCUGGCAAGAUCUCUGGAGGUCUCUAGUCCAAGCUUUGCUUACACAUGAUCUUCUCCAGUUAAGUUUUAAAUACUUAGAAAGUCAGAGAGCCCAUGAUCUCUGUUCCAGUGCUUGAUCACCUUUGCUUUUCCUCAUAAUGGAUUUCAUUUGUUCCAUACUUGCCUGGUUGCCUUUUGUCAUAUCCUAAAGGACCUUGGAGAGGAACCUGGGCUCCAUCGCUCUACACCCUUGGGUUAAAGGUUGAUGGCAGUAACAAGAUUUCUUAAGGCUUUUUUUUUACCGCAGCAGUGUGGUCUCUGUCUGAUCCAGAAAUACACUGGAGUUAGGUGAAACACAAAGAAUUGUUUUCCCCUCUCAUUCCUACUCCCAAGUCUGCUUACUCACUAGAAGUAUGUGGAUGUACAUAACUCCCUGAGGAAAGUAAAACUGCCAGAUCAUACAGGCAGAGAGUGAAAUUGGGAGGCAAACUCCAUCCUAUGGUGACCUAUAACACAGCAGAAGUUUUCUUCCUCAGAGGAGCAGUAGUAGCUGGACACAGUUGCCCCUCUUACCCAUCCACACAGGGUUUGCCAGGGAGUCAGUGGAAAAGCAAAGCGAUUCACUGGUGGGAAUCAUUCUGAAUCUUUACUUUUGCCCUGAUCAAUUGCAUAAGUUGGAGACCUUUGCCAUAAGUGGGGCAAAAUGAGGCCACGCACCUGCACCAUCCCUCACCAGAAUGGGAUUAGCCUUGGAGAGCUUGUGCCAACCAUCAAGCAUGGAUUUAUUGUUGCAUUGUUUUCCUUUUAACUUUAUACUUGCCGUAUCAUUUGCUUCAGAAAACUGUGGGCUCCCCCACUGUUUGCAGUUAGUAAUUUCUUCUUCUGAGUGGGAGCAGGACACGGUGGACACCGUUGAUUUGGGCGACUGGCAGGAGGACACUGCUGGCAGGAGGACACUGGGCACUGCAGCCAUUCCCACAGGGCAGGUGCCACUUCUGAGCUGUACUUGGUGCCUUCAAACCUGCAUUUCUGUCUGCCUCAUGAUGGAUCCCACCAUGGACUGAAAGCUGCUGCCUCGGUGACAACGACAGCCUCCAACUUCAUCUCUUCGGCUAUCCUGGGAAAAUUGCUCUUCGGGGAGACGUGGACACCUCUGUGGUGGGUCGGCCUCACCAUGACAGUCUGUGGACUCAUGCUGCUGCACACUGCUGCACCCCAGCUGGUGCAGGUCCCAGCGGAGAAGAAGGAGUGAUAGUUCCUUCCAGAUAGCUGAAGGGGUCACGGUGCCAUGCUUCCCUCUCCAGCCUGUCUCAGGACAGCAUCCCCAGUCCCCACUGGCCUCUGAACACAUCAGCCACCGAACUGCUAACCCCUGCUCACUGCUCAUCUGCUGACUUCCAAAAUCGAGCUGGUCACAUCCUUCCUGGUGGUGGUAUGUGGCAGUGGCAGCUUCGGAGGGAGCUGGUCAACUCUGAGUCAGUAUGGUGAAAAUCAGGGCCAGAGGCUUAUCAGCCACUCCUCCUCUUCACACCCUGUGGCUGUGGAGCUUUCUCAGUUUGGGGAAUGCUGAAAGUAUACAAACUAAACAUAGUGGCUGUGGAAGGAGCUUGUACAUCAAUAUUUUUCCAUGAAAGGACCUAUACCAAAAUAGAAAAGUAAUUAGAGUUAGAUGCUGAAGGUUAUUUCUGCUCUGUUGUUCCUGACUUCCUGUCUCUUGAAAUGGUUCUGUGCCCACUGCUACCUGUAAGGCUGUGAAGACUUUCAUUAAUUCUUUCAGCUUCCUCUAUCAGUCACAUACACCUUUUAACUUGUCAUUUGUAUCUGACAUCUAGAAUUUUCACUUACCCAUUCCUGACAUGUUAGUCACUGUAAGGUUGCGGCGCUUUCCUUUAAACCUUUACCCAGCAGAGUUUUGAUCACCAUUCCUGCGUUGUGUAGGUCAAACUAAUUUUGGGACAGUUCAACAGGCAAUCUGCUUUCACUUGGAGUGUUCAUGUUCAACACGUCUUUCAUCCCCAUUCAAGUUGACAACUGCUUUAAUGUUUGGUAAAAGGGAGUUUCUCAAGACACAUUUUUUCUACACCUCUGGAUGAUGCUUAUUCCCAUUGAUGUGAUGUGGUCAACCAAAUCACUGGUAUCUGCUAAAUUUUGCAUCAGUCAUUACUCUGUGUUCAGGUGUCAAUUUGGUGAAUGUGUCACGAAUCAUCAUUUUUAAGGUAUUGGAUUCAUUCCCCUGCCCACUUCUUUUUUUUCCUCCUUUGAAAUUCUUCGGUUGGAAUCCUAAUUAAGAAAUAUCAUGAUGCCUAUAAAUGUAUGCAUCAUGCUGGUGAUAUCACUUGCUUGCUCUGGGCUUGCCAGGUUGUCUCUGUCAGACAGAAGGUGAGUCGCGGCUGUGGCAUGUGCAGAAAACCUAAGGACACAUUUCUGUGAGCAUCUGUAUCACAACCUGUCAGGUCUGUCAUGACUGGCAGAUCUGUGCUGUGUCAAGUGUAAAAUAGACUUGUGGAUGGAAAUGCCACCAGGGUUGGGUUUGUGCCUUCUUUGAAUCAGAAGAGUUAUUGUCUUUCAGAAGAGGACAAGAGACAUUUGCUCUGUUCCCUGCCAUUCUAGCUCACUACAUCUAGCAGCCAUGUCCCAAGAGGGCUAAAGCCUUCGCCUCUCCCCUCAAUGUGCUCUCAAGUCUUCCUGUAAAAGAGGGGAGCUGCAUAUGUGGGGGAGAGGGCAGAGUGCUCUGAGUGCCUUCCCUCCCUGCCACCAUUAGUUUUGCAGCUAGGGAGCUCUCUGGUGUCAGUCGUGGUAGGAUGGGACACAUCCAGUUGCCUGGAAAACUGGGACCUGACACAAGGACCCAGCAUCUGUCAUAGGUCUGUAGACAUGACAGCCAGGAACCAUGCAUUUCUAAGUACAUCAGGUCUCCUUAGAUCUUCAUAGAUGAUGGAAAAUUAAUGGAGCCUGAUUUAUUUGCCCUGGUUAUUAAUCCUCAGCCAGCUGUAAGCCAUGGCUGCCUUCAUGCAAACACCAGUAGAAGAACCAGGCUUUCUGGUUAAUUUGGCUGUGGUCCCAUUUCCUAACAAACCAUUUGGAAAGCUUUUUAACCUGGACUAUCUCAAAACUGACAUUUCUUUAUUACAGUCAUUGUUGGAGGUCAAGUUUUAGGAGGUGUUUCUUCGGAAGUGGAACGUGUGCAGAAGGUGUGAGCAGCACUUUACUUUUUGGUGCUCACCUUAAGGUGGAUGAAUAUAAACCAGGGCUGUAAAUUCUCUCAUAAAUACUUGAAGGUGGAAAUGGAAGUAAGUUUUUCUCCAAUUCCCGUGGUAAGAUAAGAGUUCAUUUUAUGGCAGAAUCCCACCCCUCUUGUGUACACAAGAGUUUGGCCAUGUCUGCCAGCGGGGCCAGGGCUACAAGAAAAAUUGUAAUCACUGUGUGGCAAAGCAAUGUACUUCUGGUAAACCAUUCAUAUGGGAUCAUCCAAAAUGUGUCUGAAGGUAAUUAAAAAAAAAAAAAAAAAAAAGGAGGGGGAUUUCCAAAAUAAAACUGUG
Taeniopygia guttata (zebra finch) is the source of this 5038-nucleotide long non-coding RNA. The record is from Ensembl. Lineage: Eukaryota; Metazoa; Chordata; Aves; Passeriformes; Estrildidae.